Molecule: long non-coding RNA, 1289 nt
Organism: Lotus japonicus
Lineage: Eukaryota; Viridiplantae; Streptophyta; Magnoliopsida; Fabales; Fabaceae
Exons: 2
Source: RefSeq, a predicted model, not a curated record
UAUAUAUCCCAAUGCUAAGAUGAUAUUCCAUCUGAUUAUAUAUAACUAGUUAGAAUAUAUAUGUUAUUUAAAAAAAAAACAAAACAAAACAGAACGUGAUUUUAGAAUAUUGUGUUUGCAUAUAAAAUAGUUAUAUACUUAAAAGGAUAUCUCUGCAAGUUGUUUUGACUUCCACGAGGUCCUUUGGUGAUUACAACUAAAGAUAUUACAUAUAUUAAAAACAACUUUUGGGAAAGGGAAUAGAUAUUUAGAAAAGACACAGUAUGUAAAGUGGGGAUAGAGAAAGAAAAAAAAAAGAUUUUGAGAGGAGCAGAGAGUAGGGACAGCGUGAAGACUUCACAGUGUUAGAAGAAGAGAAGGAAGUAGGAUCAGAAAUCUGCAUGCAGUGGAGGUCCUGCAAGGGCGCAUCUUUGGAGAAGUAAGGUAAGGAAGUCUUGAUCUCUACUGUGUCUUCUGCCAUAGGGGAAGGGAAAAAUGGGUUAGGAAGGAAGUAUUGAGAAAUUAAGUAUCUCUUCUUUUGCAUGUUAAAAUUUUAUAUAAGAAUUGAUAGCUUAUGUGUUAGAAAUUUGGGUAUGUCACAGAGAAGAGGAAAAGCUCAGACAUUCAUAUUAUGAACUUUUGGAACAUAGGAAAUUUGGGUAAGAGCUCUUAGUUGUGUGUUGUACUUUUCUUGGGCAUUUCUGUGAUUGAGGUUAGUUAGGAAAAUUUUAAGAUCAUUAGAAACUACAUUGUAGAGGUGGAAAAGCUGAGUGAAAGUCUAAGUUAAAAGACUGAGGUAAUCUGUAAAACAAUUUAGGUUUGGAAAUUGAUUUAAUUUUGAAGCUAUCCCUUAGAGCACUAAUUUAAUAUUUUAUUUUUACUCUAGAUCUUACAAAUUUGGCUCAUUAGCAUCAGAGGACAACUUCUGUUUCAGCUGCUCAAGAAGUCAGUAAUCAGGCUCGUGUUGAACCAACCACAUCCUCUAGACAGUCGACUUAGGAUCCUUCAUGAGGCCCUUCUGCUAAAAUGGCUACUAGUGUUGUUGUGUCUGACCCAUGUUAUUGAGUUAAAACUUGUUUUGUAAAUGUCACUUUAACUUGUGCGUUGUUUUUACGUAGUGGCUCUAAUAUGUGGUCUACUAGAACCUUUAUUAUAUAGCCUUGGUCCUAUAUAGCUUUGGGAGGCUUUGUUUUGAACUUGCUGCUAUCAUUUUGUUAUUACAGGCUCUUAUAAUAUUUUGGAUAGUUCAUAUUUUAGGGGAGACCCUGCCGAAUUUUCUAUAGAAAAUUCCUUGAAGCAUAAAUAUGUCA